UUUCUUUAUAUUUCUCAUUUUGGAAGUUUCAGCAAUGUUGAUCACUGGAGCAGUUACUAUUACAAGAGUUAUAUCCGAUCCAUCCUCUCCGUCGUCUUUUGGAGCUUGGAUUAAUCAUGCUGCCAAUCAUCAUGUUGGUGCUAUUUCAUUUCUCAUCGUUGAUUUCUUCCUCUUCUUUGGUGUGGCACAGUUAACAAUUGUCCAAGCAUCUCAGAUAUCUCG
This 222-nucleotide unclassified non-coding RNA is filed under the name Hevea brasiliensis (rubber tree). Lineage: Eukaryota; Viridiplantae; Streptophyta; Magnoliopsida; Malpighiales; Euphorbiaceae. The record is from RNAcentral.